UUCAUCUUUAUUUAUUAUUAUUAUUUUUUGAACAGUUUAUCUUUAUCUUCUAAACACCCUUCAACACACAAAACUAAAUUCUGCGGCCAAUGUCGUCACACUUUCCUUCUUAACUGUUUGAGAGCAUCAUAAGUCCAAGGUUUUUCAAUUCGUCUUCAAUUUCUUCCCCCUUAAAACCAUUCUUGAGUCCAAAAGAGGAAGAUCAAUUUAGAUGAAUCGAGUAUUAUUUAUUCACUCUCUUUAUAAAGACGAGAUCUCCAUAGCUUCUGUUUCCUUCGGUCUUCAAGGUAUGUAUUUAUUUGGCUUCUUUAAUUUUCUUUUUCUUUUUCUUAGUUAUAUAAGUGUCUGUCUUUUAUGAUUUAUAUUCAUAUUGAUGAUGAAUCAUAUAUAUAAAUUAAAAAGAAAACUAAGCAAGUAUUGAAGCAGCUAGCCAUAUCUUAAUCUUGUACUGCCUUCUUUUUACUAUAAGGGUUUUUAUUUUUAUUUUCAUUUCUAUCGAGUAUUAAUUUAAAUAAAAAAAGGUAUAAGUCUAUGAAAGUGUAAUUCCCAUGGUAUCCAUAAAAUAGUAGAUUGAAUGUGGAUUAGUGUCAGAUCCGCAUCAAAUCUGCAGUGCAACGCAUGGAUUUAAUCAAUCCAUAAAAUGGUGAAUUUUUGUAAAUAAUCCACAAAAUCGGACAAUGUGGGACCACAUACAAUCCGAUAUUUUACAAAUUUGGAAAGUGCAGGAAAUUCUUUGUAAGGAUAAUUUUGUGGGCGUCAUUAAUAAAAUAAUUGUAUUUAGAAAUGGCACAACCAAGUUAAUUAUGAUGUUACCAUAUAGGGUUAAUACUUGAAAAAAAUAAAAUAAAAUGAUUAUGGGGCUGUCGAAGGAGCAUAGCAAGUGAUUGUUGCUCAAAUUUGUUUGUCCUUAUCUUUUAUCUGAAGCGGCGUAUAAAUCUGGAUUCUCUUACUAUUAUACCUUUGGGACAAAACUAUUGUUACUUCGUGGGUUCUUCAAAUUAAUAUUUCUUGCUUUUUAAAUCAUUUUUGGAUGCUGGUGAGGAAGAUGAUAGAGAGAAUGGAGUACCAAUAUUUCACUCUCUUUAUAAGAAGUAAUCACCUCACGGUAUGUUUAUUUAUCUAGCAUUUAUUUGUUUAUUUUCUUUCCUUUAAUCACAUAAUCGUUAUUGCACUUUAAUGGCUAAAAUAGAACAUUUUAAAAUUAUUUCUUUGGCUAAAAUAGAACAUUCUAUUUCUUUGGUGUUGUUGUAAUAGAAAAUGAUAAAUGACAUACAUACAUACACACACACGCACACACAUAUGAAAAUUUCUAAUUUGAGAAUUCAAGAUUAAAUUAAAGUCUGGGAAGAGUUGGUAGUGAUGUAAAUGGAUUUUUACGUUGUUUUAAAUAUGUCUUGAAUUUUAAUGAAGUCUGGGAUUCUCAUAUUGGAAGUUAAACUAUAUAUUUAUAAAAGUAUAUACAUUGUUUUUCUCUAAUAAAAUGGUUGAAUGACAUUUUUCUUAAAUAAUGUAUAAUUAAAAAAUUAAAAAUUUACUUUGGAGAUCAUUUAUGAAGAUAUACAAUAAUGAGUAUUUUAUUAUAACUAAAAGAAGAACGAAUGAGGUCCAUCGAAUUACUGUAAACAAGCAUUCACAUUUUGCAAAUAUAUGAGCAUCCUUAUUAGAGAAGAAUUUGGGUUGAGUGUGUGUGUGUGUGCGCGUAUAUAUAUAUAUAUAUAUAUAUAUCUGCAUGUUAAAAUCAUUUAGACAAAAAAAAAAAAAAUGAACUCCAAUACACUAGAAGGUAAAAAUAAUGCUUUUUGGUCAGUAUUUGUUUUUUGUCUUUUCGCUCAAUUUGUAUUUCAAAAUCAUUUAGAGGUCCGAACCUAAGCAAAACAUUGAGUUCUAAUAUUAGUCUGUAUUUGCAGAACCCAAUAACCAUUUUUUGUUUUGGUUGUAUUAAGUGGAAUGACUCCACUCCUAAUUGUUAAAUCCUAUUAUAUUUUAAAAACGAAAAGAAAGCAAACAAUUGUCACGAUUUUGGCCAACAUAUAAUAGUUGUUUCCCUUUCUCUUUGGUUUAGCGAAGAAUAUAAUAAGAAUAAAUAAUUAGAAGUGAGGUCAUUCCAUAUAAUGCAGUAAGAUUGCUAAUAUUUGAAGUCCUCAUUUUAUUUACGAAAAAAAGGAUCACUUAAUGGGAAGCUCACUAUAUAUAUAGUGAGAGAGAAAGAGAGAGAGAGUUAUUAUCUGGUGAGUUUCUCACACUUUAAUAAAGUAACGUAUGAGCUGAAAUACAAGAAAAGCACGUGUCAAUGCAUCAUAUUUUGUCUUGUAGUGUAUUUGAAUUUGUGUUUUUAUAUUUUUUAGAUUAUACCUUAUCAUAUUAAAGUAAAGGGAGCCCCUAAGUUACAUUUAAUGUAACUUACACCACUUACAUGAACAGUGCGUGGUGUGGGGCCUACGCACUGUUCAUGUGAGUGGAUGUAAGUUACAUUAAAUGUAACUUAACAUUUGCCUAAAGUAAAGGAUCAUCAUAAGAAGUGCAAUCUACACACGUGCGCGCAUGCAUGUACAUAGGGAAAUUUCCAAUUCUUGAUUCUCGAAUGAGCCACUAAUUGAAAUCCAAAGAUCCAAAACUUUCUUUUUUUUAAUAUUUUGUUGGCUCCAACACGUGCAACAACAUAUGCAGCCGAAUGAUAACCUUUGGAUUUAAAUAUUUUGUUCUUAGAUGCUUUUCCAACCUAGGAACAAAAUGGUGGUCUUUGAAUCCAAAGGUUAACACCAUGUGCAGCCAACCAAAUGGAAGAAAAAUGAAAAAAAGGGGUUUGGAAUCCAACGGUCCAUCCGGAAAUCCUUGAUCGAAAAAUUCCCCAUAUAGAUGUUACAAUCUGGGGAUCUUGGGUGUAUAUAUAUAAUCUGGGGAUCUUGGGUAUACAUAUAUAUAUAUCACGCCAAGGUGCGGACAUCUGCAUCAAUUUUCAUGCACAACCUUUUAUAGAGUUGUAAAAUAGUUUACAAUGUUAUUUAGUAUAAAGAUUUGCGUUUGCACAAAAUUUCAUGCUAUCAUCUAUGAUCACUCUGUAUUUAUAGUAUAAUGCCUGGAAUCAAGUGAGUAAGGUUCAUUUCAGUUGUUAUUAUUAGUGAUUAAUUUUUUUUUUAUAAUUAUGUGAAUUAUUAUUAUUACUCCUUGAAUUUUAAUUUUUGGGCCUAAGAGUUAAAGCUUUCUGCGCCUAGUGAUUUUAUUUUUUUGGGUAGUUCUAAAACCCAAUAAGAAUUAGGUCUUCUUUUAUUGUAAGGUGGUAGACUUUCUUUCUUACAAAAAUUAGUUUUAGAGACUGCUCACAGAAUGAAGAUUCUUGGAAAAUGUUAUGAGGGAAAGAGAGUAAAGAGGUAUUUUUUUUUAAUAUCUCAAUUUACUUGUUAAGUUUACUGUAAGGUGGCUAAACUUUCUUUCUCACAAAAAUAUGUCGUGGGAUAUAUCUAUGUUAUAGAAUGAACUUAUGAGAGGACGAUUUAGUUUGAUAAAGAUCAGUUUUGACUUAUUGUGUUCUUUUAAGAAACAGUAAGGAAUAAUUAAGUUUUUUCGAGGUUUUGUGUACAUAUGAUAGUGACCUACUCCAAAACGAUUUAAAAUAAUGCAUUUUUUUUAUUUUUGCAAAUAUGUAUGUUUUUGUACUGAAACUAGACAUUGUAAGGUCUCUUAGAAUUUUUUAAAUUCAAAUAUACUUAAAUUCGAAUUUUAAUGGAUUUUUGAAUCAUACAAUUGGAUAUUAAAAAUUUACGGUUUCUGUAAUGUUGCCAAAUGAUGAAAAACUUUUGACCAAUCAAACCUUCUUUAAAAAUCAUGAACUUUUGCAGAUGGACCUUUUUACACGGCAUAUUAGAUACUGAGGUCUUAGUUCCUCGUUUCUAGUUAAUAUGAAUUAACGAGUGAAAGGGACUUAAUUUGGGAUUUUUUUUAUGGCAUGAUUAAAUGGCCUAAAAAUCAAGUUUAUUUUUAAUAGAUUUUGAAUGCAAUUUGCCUUGAAAUUUUACUGUAUACCUUUAUGUGCCUAUAUGAUCCCUAUGAAAUUUCAUAAAUAUUGGAUAUUGAUUUUUUUUUCUUAUUAAAACAAUCUGAGAUUGAGGAUUGGUUAGUAACUUUUUCUGUUAUAAGGAGAAUGGAAAGCAAGAUUUGUGAUAUUACUUGAAAUUGUUUCUUAAAGACAUAGGAGCUGAGAAUUUUAUGUGAUAUUUUUAGUUGUAUCAUGAAUAUCAUCUAAGGUAUUAAACAAAAAUAAAUAAAUAAGUGCUAAGGGUGAUAAGCAUGUUGAAACAAGGAAAUUAUCUUGUAAAGUAAAUUUGGACUCGUUUAUCAUGAUUAAGACCCAUAGUGCUUAAUAGUUUAUUGUUACAUUUUCACAGGAGAUUAGUCUUUGAUGUUCAGUUAUGAUGAGUAUGUUUAUUGUUGUGACUGCCAAGAGUAAUCUUUGAUGUUCAAUUACGGUGACUAGGUUUAUUGUUGUGACUGCCAAGAAGUAAAUAAGCUAAACUUUUAACUACAUUCACUUUGAACAUGUGUGUGUGUGUGAGUGCUGUCUUAAAGAGGUUUUUUUUUUAAUGUUUAUUAUAAGAUUUGUGAUACAGAUAUGUGAUUAAGUGUUUGUUUUAUCCAUUAGAAUAGGCAUGUAUGAUGUUAUGUUAGGAAUUGCAUUCAAAGUAAUGUAUGAAGCAAUUUUUUCCGUACAAAAUAUCUUGUGUUCUAGGAUGCCCAACAUAUUCUUUUAAUUGUCCAUUUGUGUGUUUAUUUGGAGUGUUAGUUAUAAUUUAAUAAUCAAAAUGUAUGACAGUGAUAAUUUACAUUGAUUAUGAUAUAGUAGAGAUGGAUUUGUCAAAGCCAAAUCAUUUGAACCAAAACUCAAACUAAACCCAAAGUAAAUUAGGUGGAUUGUUUUUUGGUUUCGGUAGUAACAAGUGUAGGGUAGCUUGGAUUGAAACCCUGACGAAUUUGCCUAGAAUUUCUAAUAAUUAAGAUUUUUUUUUUGAAUUUUGAAACAUUUGAGUGACAAAAUACUAUGUGCAUAUUAUAAUUUUAUUAGUUAGUUGUACUACAAAGUAUAGAAGUUCUCAAUAUUUUGCACAAUUGCUAGACACCAUGCUUUUUAAUUUCCAAUUACAAAUUAUUCAAGCCGAAGAUGCCCAGCUGGCCAAGAUUAAUUCAAUGAAUUUGGAGAGCACAAAUCUCAAAAUUAUUGUACUAUUACCAUUUGAGUUGCCUGUCAAUUAAAUAAUAAUAGUGGUAACCUCACUUUUCAAUUACAAAUUACUAACACAAAACAAGUAAAUUUUAGCCACAAGCAUAAACCGGGUCUAUGCAAUUUCGGAAACCACUCAGAAACUUUAUUAUUACUCUUUUGUUGUUGUUGCAACUUGAUCAUCAUCAACUGCUCAGCUUAUUGUUGCAUACACUGCAAAUUCUUUGUUCAUGGGUUGUGUCUAAACAUGUCCAAAGAAAUCACCAUCAUCCUCUUCACAAACUACACACUCUUUUUGAAUACUUUGGCGAACAAUGAGUCCAAGACUUGUAAUGUCUGUGAUGAAUUAAUUGAAGGCAUCAGCUUACGCUGUAAUAAUGCUACAGAUUGUGAAUUUUAUUAUCAUGUUGCCUGUUGAUACCCCUACACAAGAAGCUUGAAACACAAGUCUCACUGAUGAUAAUGAUUUGGUAUAUUUAAUGAAGAACAAUGCGCUGUUUUAAGUGUUUCGAAUAUGCAAGCGCCACGAUUACUGUGAAGAUUCAUUCUGUAGGUUUAGUAAGUGUAAUUGGAAUGUUCGUAUUGAAUUUAUUCCUCUGCCGCUUGUUGUAAGACAUUAAAGUUACCAAUUGCAUCAUCUUAUGCUUACGGAUUGUGUAAAAGUUUAUGUGUGUAAACAGGAAGAACUCCUAAGGAUCAUGUUUAUCACCGUGGGGAAUGCGGCUUCCUUGCUCAUACUGAAUGCCCCUUAUGUGAGGUAAGUUAACUUUCACCUACAUUUUACCUCAUAAAUUAGGAAUUUAGUGAUUCAAAAUUGUGUUAUUGCUGAAUAUGUUCUGCUUGGCUCAAUAAUUGAAGUAAAUCUAUGAAUAUGUUGUAACAACGCAAGUUUUUAUUAUUGGUAACAAUUUUGUCAUUUACACUCCUCAAAUGUUGCGUAAGAUGACAGUUGUAACCAAAAAAAGAGAAAUUUAUCUUUAAUUAUAGAGCAAUGCUAACUAGCCAAAAUAACGGCAGAGGGAAGACAGAAACGGCAGCACAUGUUGCCGUUUCCUAUCCUCUCUCUCUUCUGUUAUGGGCCCACAAUAAAUUUAGAAAAAUGAAUAUAUAAUGGCGCACAUGCGUGAAUAAAGUGAAAACAUUUUUUUCUGUUAUUGGACAAGAGUUUUAACGCUCCAUAAUGAUUAAAGUGGGAGGCAAAAUCGAGUUAUUUACCACAACUAAUAUCUGCAUUUCUAGUCCUGCAUUUGAUCGAUUUCAAUAACAUAAAAAAAAGAAAAUCUACAAAAUCUCAAUCUCUUGGCUCUGUGUUGUGUCGAGGGCAAAGGAAAAUCUGCAAGGUUGGUUGGCCUGGUCAUGACAAAAGAAAACCUGCAAGGUUGCUGUGGGUAUAGCUUUUAUCACGGGAAAAAAAAAACGCAAACAAAUCGUUUGCUCGAUGUAAAAAUAGCUGGUUCUGUGUGAUGGUGGGUGUAACUUUUGUCAAUAAGAGAUGAGAUUGCAGCAGCUCUGAUAUCCUUCUUGGACUUCUCUUUUGUUUUGUUUUUUAAUUAAUAUUUACCUUUUUUAAAAGUAAUUGUGGGCCCAUGAAGAGGAAAUGAUAAGUGAACAAAACGACAGCAAGUGACUGUCAUUUUUGUCUUCCCUCUGUCAUGACUAUGUUCACUUAUCAUUUUCCUUAAUUAUAUAGGCAAAGAAAACUGUGCCUACAUGGGUUCUGUUUAAGGAUGGCAAAAACUAAGUCUAGGUUCAGCCUUUCUGGUUCCGGACUCAUAUGCCAAUUUGUCUUCUUGGAUAUGGAUUAGAACCCAGAUUUUUUAACUGCAGGUCCGAAGCGGGUUCAACUCGGAAAAAGUUUGGGUUCCCGGAUUCUGGAUCUUAAACCCGAGUUGUUUGGUGAAGGGAGGAAGAUGAAUUCUCCAAGCAUGCUACUUUUGGCUCUUUGGAAUUUGCAGAAAGAGUAAAAGGUAGAACAAAUUUAUGAGAUCUCAACUAAAUUUACUUACAUCAAUAAUAAACUUUACAAUUAUAUCAAUAUUCUGUGUUUGAAUUCUGUAUUUGGCUACUCACAACAACAAAAACUUCAAUAAUUACCGAAGCGCCGACAAAAAGAGGCUAGUGGUUUCUUUGAGAUAUCGACUGAGGCACUGGGGUGGCGGCUAGUGUGGGGCUUUAGGGUUUGUUCAGCGUUUUUGUUUUUGUUUUUGUUUUUGUUUUUUUGUAACUUUUUGCUUUAUAUUUAUAUUUUAUAAUAAAAAUUAAUUAAUUAAUAAAUCAUAAAAUUCGGGUCUGGUUUUCGGAUAUUCGGGUUUAGCUGAACCCAGAACUCAACCCGGAAACAUCCGAGUUUUAAAAAAGGCUUUCGGAUUUCGCAUUUUUAUACAUCUGGACCGGGUUGAACUCAGACCGAAUCAUUCGGGUUUGUUCGAGUCAGGUCUAGAAAAAUUUGCCAUCCCUAGUCAUGUUAAUAAGAGAAUAACAUCAAAGAAUAACAACAUAAAUGAAUUGCUGAAGCCUAGAGCUUUAUGAAGUGGGAAAAUGACAAGUGAACAUAGCCACGAUAGAGGGAAGAUAGAAACAGUAGCCACUUGUUGUCGUUUCGUUCACUUAUCGUUUCCUCUUCAUGGGCCUACAAUUAUUUUAAAAAAAGUAAAUAUUAAUUAAAAAAUAAAACAAAAGAGAAGCCCGAGAAGGAUAUCAUAGCUGCUGCAAUCUUAUUUCUUCUAUACUUUUUCUCUACUCUAUCUUUUAUUAACAAAAGCUAUACCUACCAUCACACAGAAUCAACUAUUUUUACAUCGAAGCAAAUGAUUUGUUGGUGGUUUUCUUUUGCCGUGACAAAACCUCGACAAUUUUCUUUUGCUGUGACCACGCCAACCAACCUUGCAGAUUUUCCCUUGCCCUCGGCACAACACAGAGCCAACAUAUUGCAGAUUUUUUAUUACAUUUUUUUUUAUGUUAUUGAAAUUUUGCAAAUGCAGGGCUGGAAAUGCAGAUAUCAAUUGUGGUAAACAAUUUGAUUUUGCCUCCCAUUUUAAUCAUUAUGGAGCGUUAAAACUCUUGUCCAAUAGUAAGAAAUUCUUUUUCACUUGCAUGUGCGCAAUUAUAUAUUCAUUUUUUUUUAAACUUACUGUGGGCUUAUAACAAAAGAAGAGGACAAGAAACGGCAUCACAUGUUACCGUUUAACAACUUUUGUGUUAAAAUAGUUUAACAACUUUUGUGUUAUUAGUUGUUUAAGUGCUGCACAGAUUGCUGCAUAAAGUAAUCAUCUCGAGACAUUAAGCUUGCUUUUUUAGACUUAAUAUUACAGUAGCCUUUUUCACACCUCUUCAAAAUUCUUAUAGAACUCUUUAUUAAUUGAAAGUAUUUAAAUAAUUAAAGAUAAUUUUUUUGUUGUUUUGGAAUGAAAAUCCAAUUAAACAGUUAAAUAAAUUAUUCUUACAACAAAUAUUUUAGGAAGAAGAACACAUAUGUUUCCAAGGUUUAGAGAUGCUCAUGUAAUAAUAGAAAUAGAAAUAGAAAUAUAAUAUUAAAAUAAAUGUAUUAAUAUAUAUGUUUCUGUUUAAGGAUGGCAAAAACUAAGUCUAGGUUCAGCCUUUCUGGUUCCGGACUCAUAUGCCAAUUUGUCUUCUUGGAUAUGGAUUAGAACCCAGAUUUUUUAACUGCAGGUCCGAAGCGGGUUCAACUCGGAAAAAGUUUGGGUUCCCGGAUUCUGGAUCUUAAACCCGAGUUGUUUGGUGAAGGGAGGAAGAUGAAUUCUCCAAGCAUGCUACUUUUGGCUCUUUGGAAUUUGCAGAAAGAGUAAAAGGUAGAACAAAUUUAUGAGAUCUCAACUAAAUUUACUUACAUCAAUAAUAAACUUUACAAUUAUAUCAAUAUUCUGUGUUUGAAUUCUGUAUUUGGCUACUCACAACAACAAAAACUUCAAUAAUUACCGAAGCGCCGACAAAAAGAGGCUAGUGGUUUCUUUGAGAUAUCGACUGAGGCACUGGGGUGGCGGCUAGUGUGGGGCUUUAGGGUUUGUUCAGCGUUUUUGUUUUUGUUUUUGUUUUUGUUUUUUUGUAACUUUUUGCUUUAUAUUUAUAUUUUAUAAUAAAAAUUAAUUAAUUAAUAAAUCAUAAAAUUCGGGUCUGGUUUUCGGAUAUUCGGGUUUAGCUGAACCCAGAACUCAACCCGGAAACAUCCGAGUUUUAAAAAAGGCUUUCGGAUUUCGCAUUUUUAUACAUCUGGACCGGGUUGAACUCAGACCGAAUCAUUCGGGUUUGUUCGAGUCAGGUCUAGAAAAAUUUGCCAUCCCUAGUCAUGUUAAUAAGAGAAUAACAUCAAAGAAUAACAACAUAAAUGAAUUGCUGAAGCCUAGAGCUUUAUGAAGUGGGAAAAUGACAAGUGAACAUAGCCACGAUAGAGGGAAGAUAGAAACAGUAGCCACUUGUUGUCGUUUCGUUCACUUAUCGUUUCCUCUUCAUG
This 9680-nucleotide long non-coding RNA is filed under the name Citrus sinensis (sweet orange). RNAcentral's name for it is "long non-coding RNA (CSIN_LNC001043)". The record is from RNAcentral. Lineage: Eukaryota; Viridiplantae; Streptophyta; Magnoliopsida; Sapindales; Rutaceae.